GGGCCGUGGGGAGGGCCUAGUUUACUGGGCCAGACAACCAUGCACGGCGUGGCAGGGCCCUGUCAACCCCCACGUAAGGCAAUGACCCCCGCCCCAUGGGGCUUGCGGUGGCGGAGCCCUCCCUGGAGGGGGAGGGUGAACCGUCUUAGCCAGGGGAACCCGGCCAGGCCCGGAAGGGAGCAACCUAACCCUGGCCGCAAGCGUUCAUGGGUCACCGGGGUUGAGACCUGCGUGGAAGGGCUCUGGCAGGGUCUUCCACGCUGUGCAUGGGGCUGCGGCCC
Molecule: signal recognition particle RNA, 281 nt
Filed under: Thermosphaera aggregans
Lineage: Archaea; Thermoproteati; Thermoproteota; Thermoprotei; Desulfurococcales; Desulfurococcaceae
Description: signal recognition particle sRNA
Rfam family: Archaeal signal recognition particle RNA
Source: RNAcentral